Molecule: long non-coding RNA, 886 nt
Filed under: Panax ginseng (ginseng)
Lineage: Eukaryota; Viridiplantae; Streptophyta; Magnoliopsida; Apiales; Araliaceae
Description: long non-coding RNA (PGIN_LNC016236)
Source: RNAcentral
GAAAUACUAAAAUAUUUUCAUAUUUAAUUUAAAAACGUAAAUCCAUUAUUGAAUACAAAUUCAAUAAAUAACUACAAUUUCAUUUAUUCUAGAUAGUGAUAUUUCCACCAUAAUAAUAAAUGAUUUUUCAUCUCAAAGUUUGGAUUAUGUGUAUUAAAAGUCAUAUACUAGGCAGCAGAAGAUAUCAAUUAUUACGCUAAAAAUAUCACAAUUAUUUGUUUUUACAUAGUUAAUACAACAUGUCCAAAAAACAAAUAGGAAAAAGAUUAAAUUUGAAAGAAGAAAAAAAGAUUUAUAGCCAUUAAUAUAUCUUUGAAAUGGAAAAUGAUAUACUCCCUCCCUCCAAGCCCUCUUCCUCCUCCUCUUCCCUCCAGCCUUCUCUUUAUUGAUUCUUCACCCUAACCAUUCCAUUUCAUAACCACUAAUUUUCUCCUCCAUUCAAUUAGCCAACCACCUGAAAAUAAAACAAAAGAGAAUUAAAUUAUCAAGAUCAACGAUCUAUUUGCCGCCGCCAGAUCCUCCGGAUCAAUGUCCGCCGCCGCCGCCAUCACCUUCUCCGCCGCCCAGAUUUCCACCGUCGCCGCUAACUAUGUGUAGGAGGUUGCCGGAGGCGAAGGAGACCGCAGUGAAGGCUAGGGGCUUUUUGAGGGGGAGGGGAGGGAAAUCGAGGGUUUGUGAGCGUGGUCAUCGAGGGUUUAGGGCUUGGAGGGAAGAGGGGGAUUUUGGGUGGACUGUGAGGGAAGAGGAGAGAGGAAUUUUGGGUGGGCUGAUUGAAAUAAGAAGAGAGAAAAAAUAAAAAUCCAUGGGGUCAUAUGAUAAAAAGGAGACUAUAUCAGCAAAUACACGUCAUUUAUAUUUUAAUUUUUAAAGCCACGUAAGAAAAUUA